Molecule: small nucleolar RNA, 64 nt
Filed under: Euglena gracilis
Lineage: Eukaryota; Euglenozoa; Euglenophyceae; Euglenales; Euglenaceae
Description: Eg-m17 box C/D methylation-guide snoRNA
Source: RNAcentral
CAAAGGAUGAUUCUUCGCAGAUUGAACUGAAUGAAAAGAUUAUUGCAGGAUCAACCACCUGAUG